Molecule: ribosomal RNA, 308 nt
Filed under: uncultured Spirochaeta sp.
Lineage: Bacteria; Pseudomonadati; Spirochaetota; Spirochaetia; Spirochaetales; Spirochaetaceae
Description: bacterial SSU rRNA
Rfam family: Bacterial small subunit ribosomal RNA
Source: RNAcentral
GGGUUAAGUCCCGCAACGAGCGCAACCCUGCUGCCAGUUGCCAACGGGUGAAGCCGGGCACUCGUGGAUGGACGUGCCGGUGACAAACCGGAGGAAGGUGGGACGACGUCAAGUCAUCAUGGCCCUUAUGUCCUGGGCUACGACACGUGCUACAAUGGCCGGUACAGAGUGAAGCGAAACCGCGAGGUGAAGCAAAACGCAGAAAGACCGGUCUCAGUACGGAUUGGAGUCUGAAACUCGACUUCAUGAAGUUGGAAUCGCUAGUAAUCGCGCAUCAGCAUGGCGCGGUGAAUACGUUCCCGGGCCUU